UUAAGCGACUAAGCGUACACGGUGGAUGCCCUGGCAGUCAGAGGCGAUGAAGGACGUGCUAAUCUGCGAUAAGCGUCGGUAAGGUGAUAUGAACCGUUAUAACCGGCGAUUUCCGAAUGGGGAAACCCAGUGUGUUUCGACACACUAUCAUUAACUGAAUCCAUAGGUUAAUGAGGCGAACCGGGGGAACUGAAACAUCUAAGUACCCCGAGGAAAAGAAAUCAACCGAGAUUCCCCCAGUAGCGGCGAGCGAACGGGGAGCAGCCCAGAGCCUGAAUCAGUGUGUGUGUUAGUGGAAGCGUCUGGAAAGGCGCGCGAUACAGGGUGACAGCCCCGUACACAAAAAUGCACAUACUGUGAGCUCGAUGAGUAGGGCGGGACACGUGGUAUCCUGUCUGAAUAUGGGGGGACCAUCCUCCAAGGCUAAAUACUCCUGACUGACCGAUAGUGAACCAGUACCGUGAGGGAAAGGCGAAAAGAACCCCGGCGAGGGGAGUGAAAAAGAACCUGAAACCGUGUACGUACAAGCAGUGGGAGCCUCUUUAUGGGGUGACUGCGUACCUUUUGUAUAAUGGGUCAGCGACUUAUAUUCUGUAGCAAGGUUAACCGAAUAGGGGAGCCGAAGGGAAACCGAGUCUUAACUGGGCGUUAAGUUGCAGGGUAUAGACCCGAAACCCGGUGAUCUAGCCAUGGGCAGGUUGAAGGUUGGGUAACACUAACUGGAGGACCGAACCGACUAAUGUUGAAAAAUUAGCGGAUGACUUGUGGCUGGGGGUGAAAGGCCAAUCAAACCGGGAGAUAGCUGGUUCUCCCCGAAAGCUAUUUAGGUAGCGCCUCGUGAAUUCAUCUCCGGGGGUAGAGCACUGUUUCGGCAAGGGGGUCAUCCCGACUUACCAACCCGAUGCAAACUGCGAAUACCGGAGAAUGUUAUCACGGGAGACACACGGCGGGUGCUAACGUCCGUCGUGAAGAGGGAAACAACCCAGACCGCCAGCUAAGGUCCCAAAGUCAUGGUUAAGUGGGAAACGAUGUGGGAAGGCCCAGACAGCCAGGAUGUUGGCUUAGAAGCAGCCAUCAUUUAAAGAAAGCGUAAUAGCUCACUGGUCGAGUCGGCCUGCGCGGAAGAUGUAACGGGGCUAAACCAUGCACCGAAGCUGCGGCAGCGACACUAUGUGUUGUUGGGUAGGGGAGCGUUCUGUAAGCCUGUGAAGGUGUACUGUGAGGUAUGCUGGAGGUAUCAGAAGUGCGAAUGCUGACAUAAGUAACGAUAAAGCGGGUGAAAAGCCCGCUCGCCGGAAGACCAAGGGUUCCUGUCCAACGUUAAUCGGGGCAGGGUGAGUCGACCCCUAAGGCGAGGCCGAAAGGCGUAGUCGAUGGGAAACAGGUUAAUAUUCCUGUACUUGGUGUUACUGCGAAGGGGGGACGGAGAAGGCUAUGUUGGCCGGGCGACGGUUGUCCCGGUUUAAGCGUGUAGGCUGGUUUUCCAGGCAAAUCCGGAAAAUCAAGGCUGAGGCGUGAUGACGAGGCACUACGGUGCUGAAGCAACAAAUGCCCUGCUUCCAGGAAAAGCCUCUAAGCAUCAGGUAACAUCAAAUCGUACCCCAAACCGACACAGGUGGUCAGGUAGAGAAUACCAAGGCGCUUGAGAGAACUCGGGUGAAGGAACUAGGCAAAAUGGUGCCGUAACUUCGGGAGAAGGCACGCUGAUAUGUAGGUGAAGCGACUUGCUCGUGGAGCUGAAAUCAGUCGAAGAUACCAGCUGGCUGCAACUGUUUAUUAAAAACACAGCACUGUGCAAACACGAAAGUGGACGUAUACGGUGUGACGCCUGCCCGGUGCCGGAAGGUUAAUUGAUGGGGUUAGCGCAAGCGAAGCUCUUGAUCGAAGCCCCGGUAAACGGCGGCCGUAACUAUAACGGUCCUAAGGUAGCGAAAUUCCUUGUCGGGUAAGUUCCGACCUGCACGAAUGGCGUAAUGAUGGCCAGGCUGUCUCCACCCGAGACUCAGUGAAAUUGAACUCGCUGUGAAGAUGCAGUGUACCCGCGGCAAGACGGAAAGACCCCGUGAACCUUUACUAUAGCUUGACACUGAACAUUGAGCCUUGAUGUGUAGGAUAGGUGGGAGGCUUUGAAGUGUGGACGCCAGUCUGCAUGGAGCCGACCUUGAAAUACCACCCUUUAAUGUUUGAUGUUCUAACGUUGACCCGUAAUCCGGGUUGCGGACAGUGUCUGGUGGGUAGUUUGACUGGGGCGGUCUCCUCCUAAAGAGUAACGGAGGAGCACGAAGGUUGGCUAAUCCUGGUCGGACAUCAGGAGGUUAGUGCAAUGGCAUAAGCCAGCUUGACUGCGAGCGUGACGGCGCGAGCAGGUGCGAAAGCAGGUCAUAGUGAUCCGGUGGUUCUGAAUGGAAGGGCCAUCGCUCAACGGAUAAAAGGUACUCCGGGGAUAACAGGCUGAUACCGCCCAAGAGUUCAUAUCGACGGCGGUGUUUGGCACCUCGAUGUCGGCUCAUCACAUCCUGGGGCUGAAGUAGGUCCCAAGGGUAUGGCUGUUCGCCAUUUAAAGUGGUACGCGAGCUGGGUUUAGAACGUCGUGAGACAGUUCGGUCCCUAUCUGCCGUGGGCGCUGGAGAACUGAGGGGGGCUGCUCCUAGUACGAGAGGACCGGAGUGGACGCAUCACUGGUGUUCGGGUUGUCAUGCCAAUGGCACUGCCCGGUAGCUAAAUGCGGAAGAGAUAAGUGCUGAAAGCAUCUAAGCACGAAACUUGCCCCGAGAUGAGUUCUCCCUGACUCCUUGAGAGUCCUGAAGGAACGUUGAAGACGACGACGUUGAUAGGCCGGGUGUGUAAGCGCAGCGAUGCGUUGAGCUAACCGGUACUAAUGAACCGUGAGGCUUAACCUU
RNAcentral lists this ribosomal RNA (2900 nucleotides) under Escherichia coli. RNAcentral's name for it is "bacterial LSU rRNA". It matches the Rfam family "Bacterial large subunit ribosomal RNA". Lineage: Bacteria; Pseudomonadati; Pseudomonadota; Gammaproteobacteria; Enterobacterales; Enterobacteriaceae. The record is from RNAcentral.